GGCCACAGCGAAGGGGAGUAGCCCCCAAUCGCGUAGUCGACAUACUGAUCCACCGCCCACCGCGGCGCGGGUCCGGCUGCGUGAACCGGAAUCCCUCCGGUGGGCGAGACCUUCGGCCGAGAC
This 123-nucleotide unclassified non-coding RNA is filed under the name Nocardia cyriacigeorgica GUH-2. Its description in RNAcentral is "yybP-ykoY, putative riboswitch". The record is from RNAcentral. Lineage: Bacteria; Bacillati; Actinomycetota; Actinomycetes; Mycobacteriales; Nocardiaceae.